GCAUGCGCAAGUCAAGACAACCAAGAUUUGUCAUAGAGAAAACACAGUUUAUGUCACUGUAGAAACAAGGUGUGAGGUAAAACCUGUAAUUGUUUGUUCUGCCCGUUUCAGUGAGUUCAUUCACCUACAUGUAUGUGUGUACUUUACCGCAGCUAAAUAUAGCACACCUACCGUACAACAUGCAACCUCUAAAUGAAAGCCUGAACUUAAAAAUAACAUAAAAAUACAUAAGACACUGAACUAACUUUUACACACUAAACAGUUUAAAGUCAAUUUUCAACAGGAUGUGUUCCCUGUGUGGCUACAUCUCUUUCCCCCAACAGCCCUCACCCUCUUUUAAGCUCAGGGAAAUCCCUUUCUUCACAGUUUCCUGGCAGUUGCGCAUAACAUAGUGCGACAUAAAGUACUACGUCUGUUAUUACGCUACAUAGCUCCAUUAGUUGGUUACGGAUAGAUGGUCAGGUUCACCCCAAACGAGCCGGUUUAUAUACAAGACACACUGUAUGAAGAUCUACAGCAGUUUUUAAGAUGUUCACCUGUUCCUGGAAGUGCUCCAUUCAUUAAAAGAUGGAUUUUGAGUCUUCAUUGAAAGAUGGAUUAGGAGGUCACCAUGCUUUUGUCACAAACAAUAUCUUGAAAGUACCCAGAAGAAUCACCUGCUGUAAAAAGCCUCUGGUGUUGAAUAAGAUCAGCUACAAUGUUCUCCACGUGGAUUCUGCAUAUGGUUGGAUUCGCUCUGCUGGUCAGGGAAAACAUCAGUGAUGAGCAGUGUCCUCAUCAUGAAGUCAAGCCUGGGAAAGAAUCUGCAGUGCUGGAUUCCUUGCAGUGCCACAAUGACUACAUGAGCUAUUCACAGUGCACUUGGGAGGUCGACCCACAAGUUCAUCCACAAAAA
Carassius carassius (crucian carp) is the source of this 895-nucleotide long non-coding RNA. RefSeq lists it as uncharacterized. The transcript is spliced from 3 exons. The record is from RefSeq and is a predicted model, not a curated record. Lineage: Eukaryota; Metazoa; Chordata; Actinopteri; Cypriniformes; Cyprinidae.